UACGAAGGGGGCUAGCGUUGCUCGGAAUCACUGGGCGUAAAGCGCACGUAGGCGGAUCUUUAAGUCAGGGGUGAAAUCCUGGAGCUCAACCCCAGAACUGCCUUUGAUACUGGGGAUCUCGAGUCCGGAAGAGGUGAGUGGAACUCCGAGUGUAGAGGUGAAAUUCGUAGAUAUUCGGAAGAACACCAGUGGCGAAGGCGGCUCACUGGUCCGGUACUGACGCUGAGGUGCGAAAGCGUGGGGAGCAAAC
RNAcentral lists this ribosomal RNA (250 nucleotides) under uncultured bacterium. Its description in RNAcentral is "partial 16S ribosomal RNA". It matches the Rfam family "Bacterial small subunit ribosomal RNA", at positions 524 to 773 of the family's 1533-position model. The record is from RNAcentral.